UUCACUGUGAGCCUGCACCAAGGGAGGAGG
This 30-nucleotide non-coding RNA is filed under the name Homo sapiens (human). The record is from RNAcentral. Lineage: Eukaryota; Metazoa; Chordata; Mammalia; Primates; Hominidae.